This 200-nucleotide unclassified non-coding RNA is filed under the name Basidiobolus sp. Its description in RNAcentral is "partial internal transcribed spacer 2". Lineage: Eukaryota; Fungi; Basidiobolomycota; Basidiobolomycetes; Basidiobolales; Basidiobolaceae. The record is from RNAcentral.
UUAAGUUCAGCGGGUAAUCCUACCUGAUUUGAGAUCAAGAAUUAAGAGUUGGGCUUGCGCGCCCGCAUCCCAAGUUCCUGCGUUCGUCGGUGGCAGUCGUCAGAUCCGAACGUUACGUUAUGGUGCUAAGAAUGAAAACGCCUUGCGACGCCUCCAACUAGUACACCUGCAACGAGCUGAUCCUUAAUGACCACUGCUCC